UUGAACGCUGGCGGCAUGCUUUACACAUGCAAGUCGAACGGCAGCGGGCCCUUCGGGGUGCCGGCGAGUGGCGAACGGGUGAGUAAUACAUCGGAACGUGUCCUAUAGUGGGGGAUAACCCAGCGAAAGUUGGGCUAAUACCGCAUACGUCCUACGGGAGAAAGCGGGGGAUCGCAAGACCUCGCGCGAUUGGAGCGGCCGAUAUCGGAUUAGCUAGUUGGUGAGGUAAAGGCUCACCAAGGCGACGAUCCGUAGCUGGUCUGAGAGGACGACCAGCCACACUGGAACUGAGACACGGUCCAGACUCCUACGGGAGGCAGCAGUGGGGAAUUUUGGACAAUGGGGGCAACCCUGAUCCAGCCAUUCCGCGUGAGUGAAGAGGGCCUUCGGGUUGUAAAGCUCUUUCAGCAGGAACGAAACGGUGGCCCCUAAUACGGGCUACUAAUGACGGUACCUGAAGAAGAAGCACCGGCUAACUACGU
This 482-nucleotide ribosomal RNA is filed under the name uncultured bacterium. Its description in RNAcentral is "bacterial SSU rRNA". It matches the Rfam family "Bacterial small subunit ribosomal RNA", at positions 30 to 506 of the family's 1533-position model. The record is from RNAcentral.